Gallus gallus (chicken) is the source of this 115-nucleotide small nuclear RNA. Its record names the gene U5. It matches the Rfam family "U5 spliceosomal RNA". Rfam says of the family: U5 RNA is a component of both types of known spliceosome. The precise function of this molecule is unknown, though it is known that the 5' loop is required for splice site selection and p220 binding, and that both the 3' stem-loop and the Sm site are important for Sm protein binding and cap methylation. The record is from Ensembl. NCBI's taxonomy places the organism in Eukaryota, Metazoa, Chordata, Aves, Galliformes, Phasianidae.
AUACUCUGGUUUCUCUUCAGAUCGUAUAAAUCUUUCGCCUUUUACUAAAGAUUUCCGUGGAGAGGAACAAACACGAGUGUCGUGGAAUUUUUUGAGGCUCCGCUUCGGCGGAGCU